UUAAGCAUGCAAGUCGAGCGGGCUUAUUCGGGCAACUGGAUAAGUUAGCGGCGAACUGGUGAGUAACACGUAGGUAAUCUGCCGUAGAGUGGGGGAUAACCCAUGGAAACAUGGACUAAUACCGCAUAUACUCUUGACGCUAAAGCGUAGUAAGAGGAAAGGAGCAAUCCGCUUUACGAUGAGCCUGCGGCCUAUUAGCCUGU
RNAcentral lists this ribosomal RNA (203 nucleotides) under uncultured Brachyspira sp. RNAcentral describes it as "partial 16S ribosomal RNA". It matches the Rfam family "Bacterial small subunit ribosomal RNA", at positions 49 to 249 of the family's 1533-position model. Lineage: Bacteria; Pseudomonadati; Spirochaetota; Spirochaetia; Brachyspirales; Brachyspiraceae. The record is from RNAcentral.